Molecule: ribosomal RNA, 431 nt
Filed under: uncultured bacterium
Lineage: Bacteria
Description: bacterial SSU rRNA
Rfam family: Bacterial small subunit ribosomal RNA
Source: RNAcentral
ACAAUGGGCGCAAGCCUGAUGGAGCAACACCGCGUGAGUGAAGAAGGGUUUCGGCUCGUAAAGCUCUGUUGUUAAAGAAGAACACGUAUGAGAGUAACUGUUCAUACGUUGACGGUAUUUAACCAGAAAGUCACGGCUAACUACGUGCCAGCAGCCGCGGUAAUACGUAGGUGGCAAGCGUUAUCCGGAUUAUUGGGCGUAAAGAGAGUGCAGGCGGUUUCUAAGUCUGAUGUGAAAGCCUUCGGCUUAACCGGAGAAGUGCAUCGGAAACUGGAUAACUUGAGUGCAGAAGAGGGUAGUGGAACUCCAUGUGUAGCGGUGGAAUGCGUAGAUAUAUGGAAGAACACCAGUGGCGAAGGCGGCUACCUGGUCUGCAACUGACGCUGGGACUCGAAAGCAUGGGUAGCGAACAGGAUUAGAUACCCUGGUAG